UACGUAGGGUCCGAGCGUUGUCCGGAAUUAUUGGGCGUAAAGGGCUCGUAGGCGGUCCGUCACGUCGGGAGUGAAAACUCAGGGCUCAACCCUGAGCGUGCUUCCGAUACGGGCGGACUAGAGGUAUGCAGGGGAGAACGGAAUUCCUGGUGUAGCGGUGGAAUGCGCAGAUAUCAGGAGGAACACCGGUGGUGAAGGCGGUUCUCUGGGCAUUACCUGACGCUGAGGAGCGAAAGCAUGGGGAGCGAACAGG
RNAcentral lists this ribosomal RNA (253 nucleotides) under uncultured bacterium. Its description in RNAcentral is "partial 16S ribosomal RNA". It matches the Rfam family "Bacterial small subunit ribosomal RNA", at positions 524 to 776 of the family's 1533-position model. The record is from RNAcentral.